CCGGCCCUUCCCCCUCCGCCCUUCCCCCCUCCCACGCCGCAGGGACCCGGAUGCCCGGAUGAGAAGGGCGGCGGCACCAGAGCGAGCCCUUUGUCAGCUGCAGCCUCAGCCUCAGCUGCGGAGCGGGAGGCCUCUGCCGAGAGCGAAGCUGCACCUCUCGUUCCCUGGAGGCGGCUGGCAAAAGCUGCUUUCCUCCUUCUCCGUUAGCCUCGGCUGCCGGCCCUACAAGCUUACUUCUUCCGCUGUUUCCCCCCGAAACCCCGAGAUCUCUCCUGCCGCUGCCUCUACCACCAGCUUCCUGUUUAUCCGCACUGCGCCUGCGCCGGAGACCGGCUCAGACCGGUCGCCUCAGCCCGGCUCCCCCUCCUAGUGUCGGGCCAGCCUAUUGCGCUGCAUCCGGCAGGGAGACUGGGAGCCGAGGCGGCGCGCAGGGCGGGAGGGAAUGAAAGCAGCAGGAUGUACCACUGACGGUCGCCACCCUCCAGGACGAGCCGGGCGCCCAGGGACGGACCAGCACCCCACCCCAGGAAAGGCAAUGUGGGAGGGGGCUGCAGCCGACGGGGCAAUUGGGAAAAGGGGAAGAGAGCUGUUUACUCUCUCAGUGCGCAGGCGCGGGCGCGAAGCCUCUGGUUCUUAAAGACGUAGGCGGGCACUGACCUACUUCUAUUGGGGUUCUUCUCAGAGCUUGGCGCUAACCCCUUGGAAAGAUCCGAUCAUUCGUUCGUUCAUUCCGCAGACACCUACGGAGCUCACCGCGCGCUGGGUGCUGGGCUCUCGGGCCACUAUGAGCUCACAGCAUGGUGGCGGAGACAAAGUACACACACAGUCCCCAUACAGAGUGCAGAGAAGGGCUGAUGGCAUCCUCUUUGGGGGAGAGGCAGUGGCCGUGAUGGUUUUGUGUUUUGAGUUGGAUGUUAAAGGAUGAGGAGUUAGCCAGAACCCCGCUCUCCUCCAUGCCCAGAGAGUCCCAGGCAAGGACAAAAUCUUCAUGUCUCCCAGAGGCUCAGCAUGCAGCUUUUCUAAUGGGAGGCAAGACUGCUCCCAGGACUCAAAUAAAAUAUAAUAUAAUAAAAUAAAA
Myotis brandtii (Brandt's bat) is the source of this 1078-nucleotide long non-coding RNA. RefSeq lists it as uncharacterized. The record is from RefSeq and is a predicted model, not a curated record. The transcript is spliced from 3 exons. Lineage: Eukaryota; Metazoa; Chordata; Mammalia; Chiroptera; Vespertilionidae.